UAGGGAAUCUUCCGCAAUGGACGCAAGUCUGACGGAGCAACGCCGCGUGAGUGAAGAAGGAUUUCGGUUCGUAAAACUCUGUUGUUAGAGAAGAACAGCGCAUAGAGUAACUGUUAUGCGUGUGACGGUAUCUAACCAGAAAGCCACGGCUAACUACGUGCCAGCAGCCGCGGUAAUACGUAGGUGGCAAGCGUUGUCCGGAUUUAUUGGGCGUAAAGCGAGCGCAGGCGGUCAAUUAAGUCUGAUGUGAAAGCCCCCGGCUCAACCGGGGAGGGUCAUUGGAAACUGGUUGACUUGAGUGCAGAAGAGGAGAGUGGAAUUCCAUGUGUAGCGGUGAAAUGCGUAGAUAUAGGGAGGAACACCAGUGGCGAAGGCGACUCUCUGGUCUGUAACUGACGCUGAGGCUCGAAAGCGUGGGUAGCAAACAGG
This 429-nucleotide ribosomal RNA is filed under the name Bacteroidota bacterium. Its description in RNAcentral is "Bacteroidetes bacterium partial 16S ribosomal RNA". It matches the Rfam family "Bacterial small subunit ribosomal RNA", at positions 355 to 776 of the family's 1533-position model. The record is from RNAcentral. Lineage: Bacteria; Pseudomonadati; Bacteroidota.